GACGAACGCUGGCGGCGUGCCUAAUACAUGCAAGUAGAACGCUGAAGGAGGAGCUUGCUCUUCUGGAUGAGUUGCGAACGGGUGAGUAACGCGUAGGUAACCUGCCUGGUAGUGGGGGAUAACUAUUGGAAACGAUAGCUAAUACCGCAUAAUAACAGUUGUUGCAUGACAACUGUUUGAAAGGUGCAAUUGCAUCACUACCAGAUGGACCUGCGUUGUAUUAGCUAGUUGGUGGGGUAACGGCUCACCAAGGCGACGAUACAUAGCCGACCUGAGAGGGUGAUCGGCCACACUGGGACUGAGACACGGCCCAGACUCCUACGGGAGGCAGCAGUAGGGAAUCUUCGGCAAUGGACGAAAGUCUGACCGAGCAACGCCGCGUGAGUGAAGAAGGUUUUCGGAUCGUAAAGCUCUGUUGUAAGAGAAGAACGAGUGUGAGAU
Molecule: ribosomal RNA, 441 nt
Filed under: Streptococcus sp. oral taxon C56
Lineage: Bacteria; Bacillati; Bacillota; Bacilli; Lactobacillales; Streptococcaceae
Description: bacterial SSU rRNA
Rfam family: Bacterial small subunit ribosomal RNA
Source: RNAcentral